This 699-nucleotide ribosomal RNA is filed under the name uncultured bacterium. RNAcentral describes it as "bacterial SSU rRNA". It matches the Rfam family "Bacterial small subunit ribosomal RNA", at positions 102 to 788 of the family's 1533-position model. The record is from RNAcentral.
ACGGGUGAGUAACACGUGGGUAACCUGCCCAUCAGAGGGGGAUAACAUCCGGAAACGGAUGCUAAAACCGCAUAGGUCUUCGAGCCGCAUGGCUUGAAGAGGAAAAGAGGCGCAAGCUUCUGCUGAUGGAUGGACCCGCGGUGCAUUAGCUAGUUGGUGAGGUAACGGCUCACCAAGGCCGUGAUGCAUAGCCGACCUGAGAGGGUGAUCGGCCACAUUGGGACUGAGACACGGCCCAAACUCCUACGGGAGGCAGCAGUAGGGAAUCUUCCGCAAUGGACGCAAGUCUGACGGAGCAACGCCGCGUGAGUGAAGAAGGUUUUCGGAUCGUAAAACUCUGUUGUUAGAGAAGAACAAGUGCUAGAGUAACUGUUAGCGCCUUGACGGUAUCUAACCAGAAAGCCACGGCUAACUACGUGCCAGCAGCCGCGGUAAUACGUAGGUGGCAAGCGUUGUCCGGAAUUAUUGGGCGUAAAGCGCGCGCAGGCGGAUAGGUCAGUCUGUCUUAAAAGUUCGGGGCUUAACCCCGUGAUGGGAUGGAAACUGCCAAUCUAGAGUAUCGGAGAGGAAAGUGGAAUUCCUAGUGUAGCGGUGAAAUGCGUAGAUAUUAGGAAGAACACCAGUGGCGAAGGCGACUUUCUGGACGAAAACUGACGCUGAGGCGCGAAAGCCAGGGGAGCGGACGGGAUUAGAUACCCC